This 336-nucleotide unclassified non-coding RNA is filed under the name fungal sp. Its description in RNAcentral is "partial internal transcribed spacer region". The stretch from base 1 to 46 matches the Rfam family "Eukaryotic small subunit ribosomal RNA", at positions 1786 to 1831 of the family's 1831-position model. The record is from RNAcentral. Lineage: Eukaryota; Fungi.
AAGUCGUAACAAGGUUUCCGUAGGUGAACCUGCGGAAGGAUCAUUAUUACGUUAUCCAACGUCAAACCCAAUUGUGAAAUGUUUAAAUCGGGAGCGGAAUGAGAGUAUUUGCGACAAAAGGUUCAUGACUUAAUAGUGGCUUUUGUCGGUCCUAACACUGUAAUGGUGUUAGCUCAUUUCAUUUCUGUUAUUGUCAAUUCCCGGCAUGAACAAUUGUAACUUUUUAAACCCCAAGUACAAAAUAUUGAACUAAACCUUUGUUCUGACCGCCUCGGUGGUUCAGAUCAGAAAUCUGAAAUUAAGAAACAACUCUUAACAACGGAUAUCUUGGUUCUC